This is a non-coding RNA of Gasterosteus aculeatus aculeatus (three-spined stickleback), 2282 nucleotides long. The record is from RefSeq and is a predicted model, not a curated record. Lineage: Eukaryota; Metazoa; Chordata; Actinopteri; Perciformes; Gasterosteidae.
GAAGAAAGUGACAGGAAGUGAAGGGAGCGGGAGGAACGGGACAGAACGGGACGGCUGCUGCUUGACCAGCAGAAACGGAGCGAAAACAAUGACGUUUAAAACCCGAUAUCGCUUCGCGUUAACGACACAGGGUGGUUGUCGUUUUGCCUUUGGAGUGUGUAGCCGUUCGAGACGCUAGCGAGUCGCGCUACACCGCCAGAGGAAGAAGUCGUGUUCGCGGUCCCUUCUAUCUUUGCCGCCGCGGAGAUUGGCGGUUCCUGCCGCCCAGAGACGCGUCACGGCUCCCGAUGACGCGUGCGGACUAAAGGGAAGUAACCCAACUUUGUGCUAUUUAGCAGCAAGCUACAGAGAAGUAUAACUUUGCCCGCACUGAAUUGCUUUUUUGUCGUGCUACCAGCCAGAACCAAGACACUUUUUUUGGCUAGCCUAUUUUAUUUGAUACUUUGUGGACUCACAAAACGGGAUUUGAGCAUUUUUGCUCUGGAUUGAGCCGUAAGGCUGUUGGACAUUUCCACUUAAAACGCGGUAUUCCUCUUAGUGUUUAGAAUGAACCAUUUUUCUGUUUAAAACAACUACUGAGUGUGGGGACACUGGUCUGUGACAUUUAUUGUGUACUGUCUUUGGUCACUGCUGUUAAUUUUCUGUCAAGUUAUCCUGUGAUGAAUCUACAUGAUUCAUUAUACGACUGAAACUGUGAAGAGUGAUUUAGGGUAACCAACUCAAAUGAUGUACUGUGCAGUCCUUCAUCUUCCCUGGAGUAGGGGCGUCUCAUCCUCUGUCAGUAUAUGGCAGUAGAGGGAAAUACCGGCAUGAAGUUCAGAAGAUGGAGGAGGUGUGAUGUCACAGCGCCCUCUAGAGGAUAUUUAACUCAGCGUAACAUCAUCCCGACUUCAUCAGUAUCUCUGUUCAUAUGGCUCAAAAAGCUUCUGUAAAUUAAUAACAGUAAUUCAUAAACCAGGAGUAUUGAGACAAAACUAACCGUAAUCCUGAUAUUUUUAUAGCAAUAUUAUGGUUGUGAAGAAGUUAGGUAUAUAAAAACAUAGCUUAAAAUAAUUACAACAAACAGAACCAACAUUAAAGUUAUUCUCAACAUCUUAAAUACAAAUAAAUAUCCAGAAUCACAGAGUCACUGUAUGAUUGAGUCACUGCUUUUCUGAGUCAUGGUUUCACUGGUUUAUAGUUUAACUGAGUCUCUGAAUCACUGCUUUACUGAGUCGCUCAGUCACUUUUUCACUGGUUCACAGCUUCACAUAUUGUUUCACGGAGUUACUGCUUCCCUGAGUCAGUCACUAUAUGUCUGCUGGAUGAGUACAUGCUGCCCUUUGAGGACGAGGUGGGUCAGCAUCCGUCUCUAGAGGACAUGCAGGAGGUGGUGGUCCACAGCAAGCUGAGACCGACCCUCAGAGAGUGCCGGCAGAAACAUACUACCCGCUCUGCGCGCGUUGUGUGUCUCUCCUCGGGAUAACCCUCCUGUGUGAGACCAUUGAGGAGUGCUGGGAUCACCAGGCUGAAGCUCACCUAUCGGCCGGCUGUGUGGGGCAGUUGUUCAGAUGCAGCGUCAGAUGAGCCGCACAGACCCCGAAGAGGUCGCCACCAUUGUAACCAAUGUGGACUACCCCCCAAAGCAGUCCAGUUCAUGACGCAGACCAAUCUGGACGGAGCUGGGACUUCCUGAGCAAACGGUUUCUUUCUCUGAUGGCAGACUCUGGUCACGUGACCCUCAGACUGAUGAGGAUGCAGAGGGCCUCCUUCUCGGCAUGGUGAGCCACAAUGAUCAGGAAUCAGGAAACAUUUAUUGCCAAAAUAUCAAUGAUAUUGGUUCCUGAAUGUAUGUAAAAAAUACUUUGUGUAAAGACAUUGAAGAGUGACUCAUUCUGCUCUUUGUUUCUGCCAAUAGGAAACAGCUUCUGAAUGUCUCUAUCACUGCUGUGUGUGUGUACAUUCCAGAGCACGGUUUCAUAAUCAGGUUAUUAUUCCUUUCUAUUAUUUUAAAAGGUGGCUUGUUGAGAGGAAACUGGAGAUAAUUGAGAGAUUUAAAUUCUUCAUUAACAAAGAUUAUACAAGUCACAAGUUCAAAACAAACAAUUGUAUUUAAUGCUUUUUAUUGUGAACACAAGUUGAUGGUGUUGAAAAAAAGGUUUUUAUUGGUAUUGAUGAUUGUUCUUUUAAUGAGGGCUCCUACGCUGCAGCCACAGCCAAGGACAAGGGCAGGCUGCAGCGUGUCCUCCGCUCUGCAGAGAGGCUGAUCGGCUGCAAUCUGCCGUCCCUGCAGGACUGGUUCC